RNAcentral lists this ribosomal RNA (791 nucleotides) under Salmonella enterica. Its description in RNAcentral is "partial 23S ribosomal RNA". It matches the Rfam family "Bacterial large subunit ribosomal RNA", at positions 371 to 1165 of the family's 2925-position model. Lineage: Bacteria; Pseudomonadati; Pseudomonadota; Gammaproteobacteria; Enterobacterales; Enterobacteriaceae. The record is from RNAcentral.
CCCCGUACACAAAAGCGCAUGUGUUGUGAGCUCGAUGAGUAGGGCGGGACACGUGGUAUCCUGUCUGAAUAUGGGGGGACCAUCCUCCAAGGCUAAAUACUCCUGACUGACCGAUAGUGAACCAGUACCGUGAGGGAAAGGCGAAAAGAACCCCGGCGAGGGGAGUGAAAAAGAACCUGAAACCGUGUACGUACAAGCAGUGGGAGCACCCUUUGGGGUGUGACUGCGUACCUUUUGUAUAAUGGGUCAGCGACUUAUAUUCUGUAGCAAGGUUAACCGAAUAGGGGAGCCGGAGGGAAACCGAGUCUUAAUUGGGCGUUAAGUUGCAGGGUAUAGACCCGAAACCCGGUGAUCUAGCCAUGGGCAGGUUGAAGGUUGGGUAACACUAACUGGAGGACCGAACCGACUAAUGUUGAAAAAUUAGCGGAUGACCUGUGGCUGGGGGUGAAAGGCCAAUCAAACCGGGAGAUAGCUGGUUCUCCCCGAAAGCUAUUUAGGUAGCGCCUCGUGAAUUCAUCUCCGGGGGUAGAGCACUGUUUCGGCUAGGGGGCCAUCCCGGCUUACCAACCCGAUGCAAACUGCGAAUACCGGAGAAUGUUAUCACGGGAGACACACGGCGGGUGCUAACGUCCGUCGUGAAGAGGGAAACAACCCAGACCGCCAGCUAAGGUCCCAAAGUCAUGGUUAAGUGGGAAACGAUGUGGGAAGGCCCAGACAGCCAGGAUGUUGGCUUAGAAGCAGCCAUCAUUUAAAGAAAGCGUAAUAGCUCACUGGUCGAGUCGGCCUGCGCG